This is a long non-coding RNA of Electrophorus electricus (electric eel), 795 nucleotides long. RefSeq lists it as uncharacterized. Lineage: Eukaryota; Metazoa; Chordata; Actinopteri; Gymnotiformes; Gymnotidae. The record is from RefSeq and is a predicted model, not a curated record.
AAAUCUCAUAUUUCAACUUUUGUCAGGAACAGGAGCAGCGAAAAAGUGCCCAGUCUUGCGGGGAUGAGAGAUGGGAAAGGCAGAGCGGUGCAUGCGAGGCGAUCGGCACGGCAUGAACGGAGGAGAGAGACGCGCCGCCAAACACGUCUCCCGUGCAGGGAGACGCGGGACGAAACGCAGGUCCUGCGCAGACAGACGCGGGGCGAAAAACAGGUCUUUUGCAGAGGGACGAGGGACGAAACACAGGCGUGCCGGAGGGGUGGCUCCUUUGAUGCUCCCAGGCGACAGAAAAAGCCUGGUGAUUCGAUGACGAUGGCGAUGAAGAUGAGGUCGAAAACAUGCAGCUAUAACCCCAACAAGGCUACAUCUGGAAUUGACAGGAUUCUUUGUUUCCUGGGAGGACAGAGAAAAUCCCAGGAAUCUGAAGAUGGCCAACUCCUGGGAAAAUGAGCAACCCUAAACAGAACACGUCAGACAGCACACCUGUGUCUGGAAGGGCAGAGGUGGUGGUUCCCUCUGCUGAGAUCCAGCUUGUGACCAUCGUGUGUGGUAUAAAAAGCAUCGUAUCCUGGCUCAGUGCUGAGGAGGGCAUUCAUGUCUAGUGUUGAAACAAAAAAUUAAAACAAAAUGUCGCCCUGCUCGUCUUGUUAUAGUAGCAAACCUCGUCAGACAUUUUAAACACAUUUUUGGCUACAUGCAAAAGCAGUUUGAUGUGAAAGUUAAAUUUUCUACAGAUUAUAAUUUAAUUGGUAUUGUGUGUCCAAUUGUCUAUGAUAAACAAUGCUGAUGAAUUAA